UAUUAAAAAUUUCAUUAAUUUUUAUUGUUAAAAAUUAACGCGACUAAUAAAAUAAUUAUAUAGUCACGCGUGGUGUGCUAUGUGUUCUUCAUUUUAAUGCAUAAGAUCAAUUUUUAACAAUAAAAAUAGAUACAAUUUUUAACA
Gossypium raimondii (Peruvian cotton) is the source of this 144-nucleotide non-coding RNA. The record is from Rfam. Lineage: Eukaryota; Viridiplantae; Streptophyta; Magnoliopsida; Malvales; Malvaceae.